Podarcis lilfordi (Lilford's wall lizard) is the source of this 73-nucleotide non-coding RNA. Lineage: Eukaryota; Metazoa; Chordata; Lepidosauria; Squamata; Lacertidae. The record is from the annotation of a GenBank genome assembly.
UUAUAGCUCAGUCAGUAGAGCAUGAGGCUCUGAAUCUCAAAGUUGUGGGUUUGGGCCCCCACGUUGGGCAAAA